CUUCCAUCUGGAAGAAUCUGGAGGACAGGUGCUGCAUGGCUGUCGUCAGCUCGUGUCGUGAGAUGUUGGGUUAAGUCCCGCAACGAGCGCAACCCUUGCCUUUAGUUGCCAGCAGUUCGGCUGGGCACUCUAAAGGGGACUGCCGGUGUUAAACCGGAGGAAGGUGGGGAUGACGUCAAGUCCUCAUGGCCUUUAUGACCAGGGCUACACACGUACUACAAUGGCCGAUACAAAGGGCAGCGACACUGCGAGGUGAAGCCAAUCCCGUAAAAAUCGGUCUCAGUCCGGAUUGGAGUCUGCAACUCGACUCCAUGAAGUUGGAAUCGCUAGUAAUCGUGGAUCAGCAUGCCACGGUGAAUACGUUCCCGGGCCUU
Molecule: ribosomal RNA, 374 nt
Filed under: uncultured Desulfobulbus sp.
Lineage: Bacteria; Pseudomonadati; Thermodesulfobacteriota; Desulfobulbia; Desulfobulbales; Desulfobulbaceae
Description: bacterial SSU rRNA
Rfam family: Bacterial small subunit ribosomal RNA
Source: RNAcentral